This is a non-coding RNA of Mycena rebaudengoi, 90 nucleotides long. The record is from the annotation of a GenBank genome assembly. NCBI's taxonomy places the organism in Eukaryota, Fungi, Basidiomycota, Agaricomycetes, Agaricales, Mycenaceae.
GCACCGGUGGCGUACGGUACACGCCUCCAUAAAGUGCGUCGAUCGCAGAUAUUUCAAGGAGAGCCCGGGGUUCGACUCCCCGCCGGUGCA